CCUCGGGCGGCAGCAGUGGGGAAUAUUGGACAAUGGGGGGAACCCUGAUCCAGCCAUGCCGCGUGUGUGAAGAAGGCCCUCGGGUUGUAAAGCACUUUCAGUGAGGAAGAACGCCUGGAGGUUAAUACCCAUCAGGAAAGACAUCACUCACAGAAGAAGCACCGGCUAACUCCGUGCCAGCAGCCGCGGUAAUACGGAGGGUGCGAGCGUUAAUCGGAAUUACUGGGCGUAAAGCGCGCGUAGGUGGCUUGAUAAGCCGGUUGUGAAAGCCCCGGGCUCAACCUGGGAACGGCAUCCGGAACUGUCAAGCUAGAGUGCAGGAGAGGAAGGUAGAAUUCCCGGUGUAGCGGUGAAAUGCGUAGAGAUCGGGAGGAAUACCAGUGGCGAAGGCGGCCUUCUGGACUGACACUGACACUGAGGUGCGAAAGCGUGGGUAGCAAACAGGAUUAGAUACCCUGGUAGUC
Molecule: ribosomal RNA, 464 nt
Filed under: Vreelandella stevensii
Lineage: Bacteria; Pseudomonadati; Pseudomonadota; Gammaproteobacteria; Oceanospirillales; Halomonadaceae
Description: partial 16S ribosomal RNA
Rfam family: Bacterial small subunit ribosomal RNA
Source: RNAcentral